GAUUAAGAACGUAGCGAAAUGCGAUAAGUAGUGUGAAUUGCAGAAUUCAGUGAAUCAUCGAAUCUUUGAACGCACAUUGCGCCUUCUAGUAUUCUGGGAGGCAUGCCUGUUUGAGCGUCAUUAAACCUCUCUCAAGUAUGAUUACUUGGAUGUGAAGGAAGAGUACCUUAAACUUAAGGAGUGUUCUCCUUUGAAAUUGAUUAGCAGAUGGUAAUGUUAUUAAAUCCCUGAUGUUGUAAGAAAUGACAGUGGUUUUGUAGACUAUUAUCUAGCUUUAAAUUAUAAUUUUUAUUAUGGUUGACCUCAAAUCAGGUAAGGAUACCCGCUGAACUUAAGCAUAUCAAUAAGCGGAGGA
RNAcentral lists this unclassified non-coding RNA (355 nucleotides) under soil metagenome. RNAcentral's name for it is "partial contains 5.8S ribosomal RNA, internal transcribed spacer 2, and large subunit ribosomal RNA". The stretch from base 1 to 120 matches the Rfam family "5.8S ribosomal RNA", at positions 35 to 154 of the family's 154-position model. The record is from RNAcentral.